AGUUGAUUCUGGCUCAGAACGAACGCUGGCGGCGCGUCUUAAGCAUGCAAGUCGAGCGGCAAGAGGUAGCAAUACCUCCUAGAGUGGCGGACUGGUGAGUAACACGUGGGUGACAUACCCUUCAGAUGGGGAUAGCUAUUAGAAAUAGUAGAUAAUACCGAAUACGAGCACAGGGGUUAGAGAUCUGUGAGGAAAGGAGCUAAGGCUCCGCUGAAGGAAUGGCCUGCGGCCCAUUAGCUAGUUGGUGAGGUAAGAGCCCACCAAGGCGAUGAUGGGUAUCCGGCCUUAGAGGGUGAACGGACACAUUGGGACUGAGAUACGGCCCAGACUCCUACGGGAGGCAGCAGCUAAGAAUAUUCCGCAAUGGACGAAAGUCUGACGGAGCGACGCCGCGUGGAUGAAGAAGGCCGGAAGGUUGUAAAAUCCUUUUGAAACUGAAGAAUAAGCGUUGUAGGGAAUGACAGCGUGGUGACAGUAGGUUUUGAAUAAGCAACGGCUAAUUACGUGCCAGCAGCGGC
RNAcentral lists this ribosomal RNA (518 nucleotides) under uncultured bacterium. RNAcentral's name for it is "bacterial SSU rRNA". It matches the Rfam family "Bacterial small subunit ribosomal RNA", at positions 10 to 518 of the family's 1533-position model. The record is from RNAcentral.